CAGCCGCCGCGGGAAUACGAAGGUCCCGAGCGUUGUUCGGAAUCACUGGGCGUAAAGGGAGCGUAGGCGGCGUGGUAAGUCAGAUGUGAAAUCCCGGGGCUCAACCCCGGAACUGCAUCCGAUACUGCUGUGCUAGAGGAUUGGAGAGGUAGCUGGAAUUCUUGGUGUUGCAGUGAAAUGCGUGGAGAUCAAGAGGAACACUCGUGGCGAAAGCGAGCUACUGGACAAUAUCUGACGCUGAGGCUCGAAGGCCAGGGUAGCGAAAGGGAUUAGAUACCCCGGUAGUCCCUGUCUCUUAUAC
This 301-nucleotide ribosomal RNA is filed under the name uncultured bacterium. Its description in RNAcentral is "partial 16S ribosomal RNA". It matches the Rfam family "Bacterial small subunit ribosomal RNA", at positions 509 to 807 of the family's 1533-position model. The record is from RNAcentral.